This 375-nucleotide ribosomal RNA is filed under the name uncultured Allobrachymonas sp. RNAcentral describes it as "bacterial SSU rRNA". It matches the Rfam family "Bacterial small subunit ribosomal RNA", at positions 993 to 1382 of the family's 1533-position model. The record is from RNAcentral. Lineage: Bacteria; Pseudomonadati; Pseudomonadota; Betaproteobacteria; Burkholderiales; Comamonadaceae.
GUUUGGGUGCUACGAAAGAGAACCUGCAACACGAGGUGCUGCAUGGCUGUCGUCAGCUCGUGUCGUGAGAUUGGUUGGGUUAAGUCCCGCAACGAGCGCAACCCUUGCCAUUAGUUGCUACGAAAGGGCACUCUAAUGGGACUGCCGGUGACAAACCGGAGGAAGGUGGGGAUGACGUCAAGUCCUCAUGGCCCUUAUAGGUGGGGCUACACACGUCAUACAAUGGCCGGUACAGAGGGUAGCCAACCCGCGAGGGGGAGCCAAUCCCACAAAGCCGGUCGUAGUCCGGAUCGCAGUCUGCAACUCGACUGCGUGAAGUCGGAAUCGCUAGUAAUCGCGGAUCAGCAUGUCGCGGUGAAUACGUUCCCGGGUCUU